ACUGAGGCUCUGGAAGGGUGCUCCGGGCUGCCGUGUUUUGGGCAGCCAUGGAGACUGCUGGAAUUGAGUUUUUUUUUUUUUUUAAAGGAUUUUAUUUAUCCACUCAUGAGAGACACAGAGACAGAGGCAGAGACACAGGCAAAGGGAGAAGCAGGCUCUCCACGGGACUUCCAGGAUCCUUGGGAUCACAACCCGAGCCAAAGGCAGACGCUCAACCACUGAGCCACCCAGGCGCCCCUGGAAUUAUUAUGUCUCCAUUCUGUGUACUUGUGAAGCUCCUGAAGACUGGCACUGCAUUUCCUAUGUCCUUUGCUGGCAGCAGCUGUCUUCUACCACAUGGAGGUCAUUUCCCACUGCCCUGCAGAGAACAAUUGCUCUGUACCUGUUUAUAUCUGACACUUGUCUGAGACUGGCACUGCAAAGCUUCAAACUUGUGCAGCCAGUUUAAAAAGGUUCCACAAAAGAAAUGAACCAUGCAAAGUGUUACAUAGCAGGUUUGCCAGGUCACUUUCUUGACUUAUCUGCUGAGAAUUGCAUUGUGAUGAUAACCUCUACUAGUUCCCAAGUGAUUGUCUUCAGUAGUCCUAGCAAAGGGCUAACGGUGCUGAUCUCUGGGGCCGGAUGCCUUCAUACUCGCCAUACAUUGCUCCAUCUAGGUACACCUGGAAUGGCUGUUGAAACUCCAGUUAUUGUAUCUGUGAAAAGGCUUUGUCUCAGUCUAACCCUCUAGUACCUAUGAGAGAGAGAGAGAAAGAGAGAAAUCCUCCCCCUCUACAGACCUGGCUAAUUACAUCUCUGCACCAUGAAAAUCGAUGAUAUUUUAAGAAGUAAAACUGCACUCAGAGGCAGAGCAAGUGUACGGUUAGCUUUUGUAGAAGUUGCCACAGCAACAUGAGUUGGAGUGCUUCCCCCACUUCCUAGCCUCCCCUAAAAUCUGCUUUAACAAAUUGUCCUAGAAAAAUACUGAGCUGGGAAAUGGUAUCUUUUGCUCACUAGGAAUGUCAUUAUCUUUGAUCAGUGUGAGUAGAGCCCCAAAAUGAGAUGCAAAGAGCAUCACUUUUAAGAAAUAAUAUUACAGAAUGAAUAAAAAUGAUCAAAGUGGAGUUCUCA
Molecule: long non-coding RNA, 1110 nt
Filed under: Vulpes vulpes (red fox)
Lineage: Eukaryota; Metazoa; Chordata; Mammalia; Carnivora; Canidae
Description: lncRNA (ENSVVUG00000018999.1)
Source: RNAcentral